This 865-nucleotide ribosomal RNA is filed under the name uncultured bacterium. Its description in RNAcentral is "bacterial SSU rRNA". It matches the Rfam family "Bacterial small subunit ribosomal RNA", at positions 21 to 901 of the family's 1533-position model. The record is from RNAcentral.
GGCUCAGGACGAACGCGGGGGGCGUGCCUAAUGCAUGCAAGUCGAACGCACUCGACCUUCGGGUCAUAUGGGUGAGUGGCGAACGGGUGAGUAACACGUGAGGAACCCACCUCGGAGUUCGGAAUAACUCAGGGAAACUUGAGCUAAUACCGAAUACCUUCUCAACACCGAAUGGUGAGGAGAAGAAAGAUUCAUCGCUCCGGGACGGCCUCGCGGCCUAUCAGCUUGUUGGUGAGGUAACGGCUCACCAAGGCAGUGACGGGUAGCUAGUCUGAGAGGACGAAUAGCCACACUGGGACUGAGACACGGCCCAGACUCCUACGGGAGGCAGCAGCAGGGAAUCUUGCACAAUGGGCGAAAGCCUGAUGCAGCGACGCCGCGUGGGGGAUGAAGGCCCUAGGGUCGUAAACCCCUUUCAGCAGGGACGAAGAUGACGGUACCUGCAGAAGAAGCCCCGGCCAACUACGUGCCAGCAGCCGCGGUAAGACGUAGGGGGCGAGCGUUGUCCGGAUUUAUUGGGCGUAAAGAGCUCGUAGGCGGUUGCGUAAGUCGGAUGUGAAAACUCAGGGCUCAACCCUGAGACGCCAUCCGAUACUGCGCUGACUUGAAUCCAGUAGGGGAGUGUGGAAUUCCUGGUGUAGCGGUGAAAUGCGCAGAUAUCAGGAGGAACACCCAUGGCGAAGGCAGCACUCUGGGCUGGUAUUGACGCUGAGGAGCGAAAGCAUGGGUAGCGAACAGGAUUAGAUACCCUGGUAGUCCAUGCCGUAAACGGUGGGCACUAGGUGUGGGGACUUUCAACGGUUUCCGUGCCGAAGCUAACGCAUUAAGUGCCCGCCCUGGGGAGUACGGUCCCAAGGCUAAAACU